RNAcentral lists this ribosomal RNA (660 nucleotides) under uncultured bacterium. RNAcentral's name for it is "bacterial SSU rRNA". It matches the Rfam family "Bacterial small subunit ribosomal RNA", at positions 9 to 662 of the family's 1533-position model. The record is from RNAcentral.
GAGUUUGAUCAUGGCUCAGAUUGAACGCUGGCGGCAUGCCUUACACAUGCAAGUCGAACGGCAGCACGGGAGCAAUCCUGGUGGCGAGUGGCGAACGGGUGAGUAAUAUAUCGGAACGUGCCCAGUCGUGGGGGAUAACGCAGCGAAAGCUGUGCUAAUACCGCAUACGAUCUCUGGAUGAAAGCGGGGGACUUGCAAGAGCCUCGCGCGAUUGGAGCGGCCGAUAUCAGAUUAGCUAGUUGGCGGGGUAAAAGCCCACCAAGGCGACGAUCUGUAGCUGGUCUGAGAGGACGACCAGCCACACUGGAACUGAGACACGGUCCAGACUCCUACGGGAGGCAGCAGUGGGGAAUUUUGGACAAUGGGCGCAAGCCUGAUCCAGCAAUGCCGCGUGCAGGAUGAAGGCCUUCGGGUUGUAAACUGCUUUUGUACGGAACGAAACGGUCUGUCCUAAUACGAUGGGCUAAUGACGGUACCGUAAGAAUAAGCACCGGCUAACUACGUGCCAACAGCCGCGGUAAUACGUAGGGUGCGAGCGUUAAUCGGAAUUACUGGGCGUAAAGCGUGCGCAGGCGGUUAUAUAAGACAGAUGUGAAAUCCCCGGGCUCAACCUGGGACCUGCAUUUGUGACUGUAUAGCUAGAGUACGGUAAAAGGGGAU